UGUCCCUAUUCCCAUAGACCUGAGGCUCGGGUUUGCCUCAAACUCGGGCAGUAAACGCACAGCGGUUCCCAGGGCUCCCCUCGGCCCCUCCCUCGCUCUCAGAGGCGCGCGCACGCGCACGCACGCACAGGUGUCCAGCUGACCCCUCCUGAGUGGUAACCAGUUCCGAAGCGCGUGUUCUCCUAGCGACGCCGCGGCGACCGGAGCUACCCUCUCGGGGACUCGCGCUUGUCCCCAGGAGAACCAAAAGGGACAGCUAAGACAAUGAGCACCUUAGCGCCCUGGGACUUUGCCCGUGAUAGAGCUUGCCUCUAGGGCCGCCGCCUAGCCCAGGCGUUGAGCGAUGCCCUCUACUGGGAAGCCUGUGCCUGGAGCCCUGCGCAGGUGGGGGUCGCACAGAAGACCUGGCUCGGGUGGGGGAUGGGAACGGAGAACGAUGACCUGCGUGACCUCUGCUCGGUCUCAGGCAUCCUUCCUCGCCUUCGCCCUCUUUCUCUUCCAAAACUCGAAUUCCCCAACCUGGACCCUCUCCGGGGAAGGUGGCAGAAGCGGGCUCUGCCAGGGAACGCGGGUGCGAAACUGAGGAGGGCGCUGCCUGCUGGAUGGAGUUAGUUUUGGCCGCCUCCUCCUCCUCGCUGUUUCUGCGGAAGGAAGCGCUGCGGCCGCAGCAGCCCUUGGUGCCAGCACAUAUCCCUCCCCGACCUUGGCUGAGAUUUGCUGCCGCGGUGUCUUGACUAGCAGAAAGCACAGUUUCCCUCCCGCGCAGUGACUGGGGAUGCCCUCGGGGCAGAGGAUUUGUCUGGGUCUGCGCCCAACUCUGGACCUCUGCCAUGGAGACCUUUCUGAGCCCUGGAAAAAUUCGUGGAUGCCCGGGUGCAGCCUCCUGAUACUUCCACGUAGCCCAUCCCUGCCCCGCACCUGCCCACGCCCAUUUAGCCAGGUCAUUCAUAUUAAAUCUCCAACCCCAAGUUUCUGCGUGCUUAGGAACCUCAAAGAAGACCGCAGCGUGGGCGGCUCUCUAGACCCCCCGAGCUGCCCAGCAGCUGCUGCAAACGCGAGAUUCAGCGCUCCAUUUUUCUGGGAUGGCAGUGCUGUCGCCCCAAACCCCCAGCUUGCUGCUCACCCCCUUCCUUCACCGCCCCUGCACAGGACUUCCUGACCUGGGGGGUUUAUGAUGUGUGUGUGGGGCGGCGGGAAGGUGAGGCACCCCUUCCUCACCCCUGAGACCGAGGGAGAAUCUGGCUCCUGGCAGCCUACUCCAUCAAGUGCCACACUGUUCUAGGUAGGGAAUUUUCUCCCUGAAGACUCCAUUUUCUCGUUCCCAAGUCCCCAGCCCCUGGGCAUGAGGUGGGGGCACCCAAGGUCUCCAACCGCUGGUUGAUUCCUCCCGACUGCACGUCCUAGGUUGGGAGGGAGCGGGUGGCCAUCGGCUUCUGCACCCUCCUUUCCUUUCCAUGCGACUCCCUAGGGGUUCUGAGUCCCCAUCUCCCGGUGCAUGCAGACCCCCA
RNAcentral lists this long non-coding RNA (1508 nucleotides) under Bos indicus x Bos taurus (hybrid cattle). Its description in RNAcentral is "lncRNA (ENSBIXG00000001500.1)". Lineage: Eukaryota; Metazoa; Chordata; Mammalia; Artiodactyla; Bovidae. The record is from RNAcentral.